AUUAAUUUUCAUAUUGAGAUUAUAAAACCGCUAAAAUUCAAUUUUGCAGAAAUUAUAAUUCUUUUUGAUAGAGGAGAUGCGAAAUUGGAAUAUUUUGAAUUCAAUUGUUCCCGCGAUAUACGCGCUCGUUCUGCAGUUCGAUAAAUCGAACUCGGUAAUGUCGACUAAUCGAUAGCCGCACGAAAAACGUGGCCUACUCGAUCCUACGCGAUUGUGACAUUCCAAGUACAGUAGUUCGCCUGAUUAAAAAAGUCAUCGCACUUCCUAUGCCUGUGAGUGUGAGCGAUAGCACGAUUAUCGUGAAAUGCACUAGAGCACGCGACUCGAGUGAGAGCUUCGUCCGCUUGUGCGUGCCAAGAACCGUGGAGCUUUGCCUCGAUCAUCAGCGAAUGCUGACGAGUGACAGCUCGCUGCUGACAGCGCGUGAAUCAGUGAAUCGUCGCGGAUCGUGUCCGUUCGAUUAAUCCGCGAACGAUCAUAUGGUGCUCGUAACAGCGCGCGUGUCAUAAGAAUUGCCGCGCUUCACUUCAGGCGAACGGCGAGGCAACGCACGGACCUUCCUAAAAAUGACCUGACGACGAGGACACACGAGAGCGCGCCCAGCGGGAGGCCUAUAACAUGAUACGCCCUUUCCUCGAUGAAGAGGAUGCCUGGUGUUACUGGGUUGUCUCGGUCGGCGCCCUGCUGUCAUUCCUGGGCCUCGUCGCCGCCUGCAUCUGCAGCUGUCGACGGAACGAAAACAAGAAUGAAUUUCUGGGACUCGCUGGUAUGGUAACACUGAAUAAUUCCGAAACAGACGGUUUCAACAGAAUUCCAGUGUUGGAUGUGUCCCAAGUUGUUGCGCAGGAUGUCAACGAUGGUGGAAAAAGGACUGCAAGUGCCAACAGGAGUCUUCCAGAUAUCCCGAAAGACAAGAGCAGAGAACAUGAGAAUAUGGUGGAGUCAGUACCUCAGGAUAUUUAUGAGACCACUGAAACUAUGGAAGACCAUUCAGAAUUGUAUGCUACAGUCCAAGAUGCAGCGCAGGAACAGAUAUCUGAGAGGGAAGCACAGGAAGUUACCCAGCAAAGUUCAUUGACACAAGAUAUAUCGCAUCAAUAUACUAGAUUUGCGUCUCCUAUCUCUGACAACGUUGAACAUCCUUACGCACAAGUUCAAAAUGUUCAGAAGACUGAAGCUAGUCAAGUAAAUAGAAGUAAUGUUAAUCAAAUCGUAAAUAUCGAGAAACCGUCGACAUCGACGGGUCAGCCGAGGGGAAACCCGGUCGCGCCACCGAGGGCCCGCCGAUCAUCCUCGCACAACUCACUCCUCAGCUCCGAAUCGCACUGCGACAUUCAAGCCGCGAACGCUAUCUCCGGUGGUGUGCAAGCUAAUCAAGACUUGCCCUACAUGACGCCGCCCCUUUUAAUGCUACUGCCACACCCGCCGCACUCUCAGCACAACAGCCCGCAACAGCACUUUAGCGGUGAUUCCCAAGAUUCGAAGGGAUACACGAGUAUAAGCGUGCGGGAACCACUAGCUAAUAUAAUCGCGCAGACCAAAGCAGCCUACAGGCAGAAUCAGUCGACUCGACCGAUCACUGAUCCCCAUUAUGCUACCGUUUCUGACGAUUCGGAUGAAAUGUACGCCGCGAUUGACGAGCAAGACAAGGUGUACACUAGCGGCAGCGAAACGUACGCCCAGAUUCAGCCGACGACGUUGGACGCGCAGAGACAAGCGCAGCAUGAGCAGCCGGUAUUUUGCCAGGCUGCUUCGCGCACGGAAGAAACGCACCCUGCACCGCAACCGCCUAGCGUCGACAGUUUGCGUCACGUCGCACACGCUCAUUCUAGACAAGCAUCGUCAUCGAGUGCCACUAGUUCCAUCAUCAAUCCAGGGUCGCCUAAACCCGAGAAGCGUCAGGCUAACUCGCCAUUACCGCCGCCGCCCGAGGCGAGUGCGGAAGGAUACGCGUCUGUUGACAAGAGCAAGGGUAAAACCGACGAGAGAUCGAGGUCUUCGUUGUCGAUGGGUAAGUCGCUCGAGGACAUGUACGCGAAGGUAAUGAAGAAGAAGAAGGAAGUGGAGGAGCAGCAACAACAACAGCAGCAGCAGCAGCAAGCGGACACUCACCCAAGCGUCAACAACGUUCUGCAUCCUGAAGCGAGUACUUACAGAAAACUGAGUCUCAUAGAGAUCAGCCGGGCGUCGUGGUGCAGCCACGAAUCGGUGGAAAUCCAGAAGAAGGAGCCUGACGGCACGCAUUACGCCGCUGCGGGCAGCGCCGCGAGCAAUUUCCACGUCGAGAGCGAGAGUAAUUCGAGCUUGAAGUUACCGAAACCCGAGAGAGACGCGACCCUGCCGCACAUAGAGAUCGAUCACGGGUACGAGGCCGUCGACUCCACCAGCAACGACAGGAGGAACUCGGCGGCGAGGGGCAUCGCGAGCUUGUCCGAUCCAAAUUACGAGAUGCUGCGAUCGCAGUCCGCGCGCGAGAACGACUAUCAAAGCAACUCGAUAUCCGCUAGGAACAGCGCAGACGCGUCGUACUCGGUGCCGUUCAAACAUCGGCAGGUGAGCAACGCCAGCAGCGAGGACCCCGGCUACGAGAAGGUGCGGCUGCGACGGCGGGUCGAGCUACUGGACCAGGACACGGAUUCCGAGCCGAAUUACGAGAGCAUGCCGCACGACACGGGCGAGCCGAACUACGCGUCGGUGUGCCGACCCGGUGACAGCGACACGGACCCGAACUACGAAUCCGUGAGCCACGGCGACCCGAAUUACGAGAGCGUGAAGUACAUGACCGUCACGCGAAACGAGGAACCGCCCUACGAGCAAGUGAUGAAUAACUUUCCGGUGGACACGAACGCGGACGGCUACGAGAAAGUUAAGGACAAGAAGGCAACGACCAAUGCCGAUUACGAGAAGAUAAAUCUGAAUAAUACCCUGGAACGGAUCAGCAACGGCGGGGAUACCGAUGACGAGCAGUACGUUCAGGUGUAACGCGCAACUUGUGACUCCUCGGCCAUAAUCUCAAGCUCGUAGAAAAUUCCGGGUGGAAACGUAUUAUAAAAUUCGACCUCCGCGAUUCAACGAGCAAUUUUAUAGCGUAAGAAUGGUAAGUUGUCAAGUUAUGUCGAUAUCAGUACGAUAAUGAGGAUAAGACUGAUGAAGACAAACAGUGAGAGUAAGCUUACGAGUGAAGAGAAUCUGCAUUAUUUUUUCAAUUGUCUUGAUCAGACGCAUUCUCCCCCGGCGAUAGCAAAGCUUGUGAUUCGAGAAGUUACCGCGUCAAAAACAAAAGAACGUUCUUAAAACGUAUCGCAUCCGAAAAAUGUCGUCCGUGUGAGUUAUAAACUUGAGAAAGACCAUUGUCGCGCGUCUGCCUUUAAUAGCAUUCAGGUAUUCGUCGUAAGCUAAGACAUCGUACGAUGUUAUUAUUCGCUAGCUAGCGCGAUCGAAGUAAUUCUCAUCGAACAUGAAUCUAACUGCAACUUGACAAUUACAAAUGACAAAUGCGAGACGCAUUAAUUUUUAUCCAUUCACUGAGGACAACAAGCCAAUCUUUAGAUGUUCGAUGGUCGUAUAUUUUACCGGGACACGUUCGGUUCGUUUGUAUUUCUCGCGACAUAUUGUAAAUAGGAUAUAUUUACACUUCGUAGUACGUGCGAAAUUUAUUUUAGAGAUUUAUUAUUUAUUGCAGCAACGCUUGUGUUUACGCGGAGUGCUAUAUAUUUAUCAGCCAAUAUUAAUGUACCACUAUUAUGUAUAUUAUCGAUCGAGUAAGCCGACACUCCUCAAACUGCAUCAAAUUAAUUAACAAGAUGUACAUCGACAAUUUCAGAUUAUCAAAAGCAGUGAAAUUACGAAGAACUAUGCGGCACAGCGGAUAAUCUUUCAACAGAGCUUUAUAAUGAGAUCAAUUUUAUAUUGCGAUACAAGUUUUCUACAAAUUUUCUACACUUUUCACUUAACGUGAUGCAAGACAAUUAGCGUUAACUUUAGAAAAUCUCACAUCGAAUUUUAUGUUUUCAUAAAAGAAACGUUUAAUUUAUCAUAUUAUUUCUUUCUCGUAUUCUUAUGUAUGUAUCAAAUGAUAACAAUGUAAAUGAAUUUAAAUGUUUCAUUUACCUUAUCGAGUCUUUUGUAUUUUAACCGAGAUAUUAUAUAUCUCAUAUUAUAAUGCGAUAUAUUCAUGAUAUAUAUCUUUUGAUAUUAACUGAAAGUAUAUUUCACGGUUUUUUAAUUAAUUUUUACUAAUUCCUCGUAACAACAUAUGUGUUUCAUCGUAACUGAAUCACAGACAUUAAAUAUAAAAGUUUUAUAAAGCGGUAUGUGAUAAAACAGAAAAACGUAUUUCGACAAAAAUCUAGAAAACAAAUACCAGAUUUUUAUUACAUAAAAUUUAAUACAAAGAGAGAAAUAAUGUAAAGAAUUAAAAUAAUAAGCAUUACUUUAAAGUAUGAUAACAACGUAUAAGAGAACAAAUAUGCACGCCUAAUAUAUAAUUAAUGAGUAGGUAACAUACGAACGUAAAUAAGUUAUUAACAAAUUCGAUUUUUAGUACAAAUACAUUAGUUUCAUUCACUACAAGUUAUUAUUUAACAAGAAAAUGCAUGAAAAUAAAUUUGAAAAUAGAAAGUCGCUGUUCGCAAAAAUAAUAAUGAUAGAUAUGAUGGAAUAUUAAAAAACAUGUCCUCGAAAGAGUAGGAUGCUUUAUUAAAAUCGGAAGUAAACUAUGUGUUUUCUUGUAAAUAUGGCGUAUUUACAACGAACUGUCUCAUAUGAUUUUCUAACAAGCUCAACACCAUACAUGCUUACAAAUAUAUUUAAUAAUGCGGUUUGUAAUCAUUUUUUAAAUGAUAUUCGUUCCAGGAUAAACGAAACGUCUUCGAAAAAAAGAUUAUUAAAUAUCGUUGUAAUUUUCGAACAAUGUAGAUAUACGCUGUAUAUAGUAGAUCCUUUUUUUUAUAUAUUGUUAUAUAUUUAAAGACAACACCAUGUACAUAAAGGCGCUAUUUUAAUAAUGCAGUCAUCAUAUUACACAAUUCACAAAAAUUUCUCAUCUCCAUCUAUAACAAGUUCUGUGUAACGAUGUAAUCUUCCACGUAAAUUUUUUAAGCUCGAUAUCGUCAUCUCGACAAAAAUGAAAACUCAUAAUUUUAUUAGAAUUAUAUAUAUAUACUCCUUUGUAUUUUUGUGAGAUCCGAAAAUUUUAUACAAUAAAAAGCAUUUUCA
RNAcentral lists this unclassified non-coding RNA (5217 nucleotides) under Ooceraea biroi (clonal raider ant). Its description in RNAcentral is "aF4/FMR2 family member 4, transcript variant X1". The record is from RNAcentral. Lineage: Eukaryota; Metazoa; Arthropoda; Insecta; Hymenoptera; Formicidae.